UGAUGUCAAAGCUAUCAAGAAGAGAAUAGAAGAUUUGAUAACUAGAGAUUACCUAGAGAGGGACAAAGAUAAUCCAAACCUGUUCAAGUACUUGGCAUGAUUUGUGCAGAUCAUAGUGAAUGAGUGAUGUUUAUAUGAACUUUUGCAAUCGACAUAGGAGGAGAAACAUGCCCCACAAGAUGAGGACAGAUUUCUUUAACUCCUACCUCCCUGGACCUUUGAUUGCCUUGCACCAGGAGCUUGAAACAUUUUGUACAAAUGGUUAAGAUCUCAGGAAAAAGUAGAAUUGCCUCUCAGAUACUUGAGAUGAGAUUGCCUUAACUUCUUCCAAUCCUAUAUGGCCCUUUAGCUUGCUCUAUUAUGUGUUUUGUCGGCUACCUGUUCGAGUUUGAGUAAAUGUAAUAUUCUAAUCAACAGCAACUUAUAGUACAUUCUCUGCAACACUACUUUCUUGGUUCUUUAUAGAUUGUGAUUUGGACCUUGGUGGUCCUUAUGUGGCGCUUUCUUUCAAUCUUGUGCAAGUUUAUUGGAUUCGGACCUUCAUGGCUGGUCCUUAUGCUUUCUUUCAAACUUUGUGGACGUGGAAAACUGGUAGCUUGGGGAUGGCAUUCAGGCCAGAAUCUAGAUUAUAUAGCUUUGUAGAUUCGAAAAUACCAGCUCGAUAUAGUAACACUCUUAAAGUUACUAAAAUAUGCUAUUUAAAAUUGCAAAACUAGCUAGUAUUAGAAAUUAUGAGAAAUAUCAUUGGUUACAUAACCUGGAUAAGUUUGUUAUGGUCUCUUGACACCAAUCAUCCUUGAGCCUAGAGCCAAAUUUCAUGCUUGUGAAAGUUGAUGAUAUUGGUGAUAGAGGCCUUUUAGGUGGCAUAAUAGCCUUUAUGCCCUAGUAUCCGUAACUUAUUUACCCUUUAAGUAAGCAUUUACAUGAGAGAAGAAGACAUCUCAUCUUCACUAAUAAAAUACAAUUUCAUUUCUUAGUUUUGAGAAUAUGGAAAAGAUCCUUAAUCUUGUUAUUUUCUUGCUUUUGUUAUUAUAUCAAUUUCAUAUUCUAGUUCUUAUGGGCAUAGUCAAAAAAUGUUUCUUCAUUAUUGUUUCGUCGAUUUAGUCUCCCUCCCCCNNNNNNNNNNNNNNNNNNNNNNNNNNNNNNNNNNNNNNNNNNNNNNNNNNNNNNNNNNNNNNNNNNNNNNNNNNNNNNNNNNNNNNNNNNNNNNNNNNNNNNNNNNNNNNNNNNNNNNNNNNNNNNNNNNNNNNNNNNNNNNNNNNNNNNNNNNNNNNNNNNNNNNNNNNNNNNNNNNNNNNNNNNNNNNNNNNNNNNNNNNNNNNNNNNNNNNNNNNNNNNNNNNNNNNNNNNNNNNNNNNNNNNNNNNNNNNNNNNNNNNNNNNNNNNNNNNNNNNNCCCCAUCCCACCCCAAAAACAAAUAGAAGGGUGAGAUCGAUAUUAAUUCACUUGUUCUUGAUCCCCAAUUUUACAAAUUUGACUAUUAGUACAACACAUGUUUAGCUAAACAAAUUUCUUCAAACAUGUUAUUUUUUCUUGAAUGGCAAUUCAACAUUUGAAGGGUAGAGCUAUAAUGAUUAGUAUAUGAACUAUGAAGAUAUGGUGUCUCCUGUCAUAAUAUGUGAAGCUUGGAUUAAGAAGAUAAAUAAAUGAAAGUUCUUCCCUAUAUAAUACAAUUCUUCCAUAUCAAUUUGUUUGAUCUACUUUCCUUUUUAGUCCAUUUAAAAAAGAUUGAAAUUUUCCUUUUUUAACAGUUUUUAUUUUAACUUUCCACUUGACAUGUAUAAGUUCACAAAAUUAAAAAGUAUUUUGAUACAUUUGAGAGAUCUUUAAUUUUUUAUCAUAAGAUUAAAAGGUCACUUAAUUUGAAACAAAGAGAGUGUAUGUUAUGAAAUAUUAAGAUGAUGGAUAUUAAUGUCCAUAUGCACUUGUAUUUGGUGGAUGUCAAUGUUCAUUUGCACUAGUAAACUUGACUUUCCAAGUUACUUGAGACUUGUAAAUAACUUACAUUGUAUAUAAAAAUUGAUAGAUACAAUUGGAAGUAUAAGAAAGCUCUUCUUUCUUCUCCCUGUUUUUAUUGCUCUCUUAUAGUAGUAUUUAUCUUAUUUUGCUUUGAUUUUAUAACAUGUUAUCAACAUGAGUUUCUAAUUUAUUCUAAAGAUAUGCAUGAUAUGAAUAACAAAAAUGUGAGAUCUUCCUAUAAGUAUCUGGGUAUGUAUUUUACCAAUGAUUUACUUGCAAACAGGAUUUAUGUCAUAAUAUCACCUUCCCUUGUUAUAUAACAUUGAUUUGAUAACCAAAAAUCUUAAAAGGUUGUCUGAAUCUUAUUGCUGCUAUGUUUAAUACGUUUAUGUUUGCAUUAUUGUUGACAUAAUUGUUGCAUCAAUUGUAAAUGAAUCUUAGUUUCUAUUGUCAUUGCUAGUAACCUAAUUUUUAAGAAUUUGUUCUAGGGAGGACCCUCUGAUCUAUCAAUAAAAAGAUAUCCAUGUGUGGGGCGAUAAAUAAUCCUAGAAAAGUUUGAUUGAAACUCCCUCCACAUCCCACGAAGAUCUCUACACACUUGUGCAGGACAAGUGAGAUCUUUGAUCUGCGUGCUUGAGAGCAGCUCAAACAAACUAUUUGGUGUGGUCUGAAUUCAAACAUGCUAGUCCGUCUGCUGCUAGGUCAAAAAAUGACGUCGUGUGAGGGCGCCUUUAUGCCCCUUAAUGAAUCAAAUGGUCGUUCGAUCUUUGUUUGAUUUCGACGACCUGCAUAGAUUUCAUGAGAUCGGUCCACUAUUAUUACGGAAAAAAAAUCCUACCCUCUCUUUACAGUUAAGUGACUUUCAGUUCCUUCGCUUCGCUAUUAGGAAAGUAAGCAACUUCUAUUAGUGUUGGAUCUUAAUAAGACUGGGCACCGCAUCGGAACGGGACCAUCGAAUCGGAAUGAACCGAUACUGGAUCGGAAUGGGAUGGUUUGACCGGGUCGUUGAUCGGUACCAGAAUGAGCCAGACCGAAACUAUCGGAAUGGAGGCUUGGUUCCGUUCCGUCCCACUAUAUAUCGGGAUAGAACCGGAACAGACCGGAAUGGAACGGGAUGGGAUAAACAGGACGACACAUAUAGCUAUUUUAAAAAAUAAUACUCCCUCUGUCCCAAUUUAUAUGACUUACUUUCCUUUUUAGUCAGUCCCAAAAAGAAUGACACAUUUCUAUUUUAAGUAACAAUUUGCCUAUAAAAUGUCUUUUUACCCUUAAUGAAAUAAUUUACAACCACACAAAUUUCUAUCAUUCAUUUUGGACCACAAGUUUUAAAAGUCUUUCCAUUUUUCUUAAAAGUUUGUGCCAAAAUCAAAAGUACAUCAUAUAAAAUGGGACGGAGGGAGUAAUUUUUUUGAGUUAUUUUGAAUUACAAAAAUAUGAAUGUUUUUUUAUUUUUCUAAGUUUAAUAGUUUUGAAAUUUAUAAUGUAAUUUUACUUAAGUUUAUUUUAAAGAUAUUUUUUUAAAUUUUUUACUUAUAUAAGUUCGUAAGUUAAAUUUAAUAAAGUUUUUUUUUAAAGUUUUUGAGCUUAAGUUUUCAACUUUAUAAGUUUAUAAGUUAUAUGUUAUAAGUUAUACUUAUAACUUGUAAUUUAAAUAACUUGUUGCAGGCCUAUUUUUAAUUAAUUAAAAAUAAUUUAUCGGGACCAGAUCGGAUCGGAAUCGGGAUGAACCAGUAUCGGUAUACCGAUAUCAAAUCAUGAUACCAUUCCAUUCCGAGUACCGAUUCACUGUAUCCCAUUCCGUUUUGAAUACUACCGGAUCGGAAUGGUACCGAAAAUCUUAAGUCAAAUUGAUCGUGUCAUAUGCAAAGUCUAUCAAUAAUGAUUCAUUAAAGUCUAUUGAUUUCGACUCCUCUCCCUUCUUAAUUAUGCGCUCAAUAUUUCAUUUUCUGUGUGUUUUUAAUAAUACAUCUUAUGUGUACUUAUAUAGGAAAAUAAUAAGAUCAACUUAAUAAUCCUAAUGAGACAUAAAAGUACCCCUUAUGGGUAUAUUCAAUUUUCCUACAUCUCCCACUCACAGAUAAUGAGAAUGUCUUUUCAGUCUGAGAACAUAUUCUCAUCUCCACAAUUAUUCAUAUAGGGAAAUUAGACUAUGAGACCAUCAAAUUGUGAAAGCUAAGUGAUAUAUAUGUUAGGAAUAUAUAACCUCUCUUCGAGUUUAAACAUGCAACUAGAUCAUAAAGUAUGCAGUACCUCAUGUCAUAUAAAUUACAUUUGAUAUAUUCUCAAGAUCUCAUAUAUCAUUAUUUCUUGUAUUCAAAAUUAUAACUCAUAAGUUAUAUCUGGUGCAACGAUGAGCACAAAUCAAUGAGAUUUCAUUAAUGAACUUCCUCUUCUCAUGAUGGUUUAAUUGUUUUUCUAGAUAUACUCCUCUAAAUCGAAUAUGUAUUCAUAAGCUUUUAAAAACAUACUAAGAUAGUAAACAUCAAGUAUCUAAUUAAAGUCACUAAGGGCACAUAUUUUGAGCCAUUACUUCUGGGUCUCAUACAACAAUACAAUUAGAAUGGGCUUACGUUAAAUCCAAUUGGUCGAUGUUAGCACACAUGAUAUGAAAAGCAUGCUACAACAUUUGCUUAUUUACCAUAGGCCGUAUAUCUUUGUUUUUUUAAAUAAUGUUGUAAAUAUGAUAUUUAGACACCAUAUAUUCAAAGUUUGAGUUCAUUGAUCAACCCUAUCAUUUUAACUCACAUCUGGCUUACCAAGUAGACUAGGUGAACAUUUUUCACCUUGAUGACCUUAUGUCAUUAUUUAUGCGACAUUCAAAUUUAAGUUGAUUGAGAUUAUUUAUUUGAUAAUUUUACUUAAAAUUCAAUCUUAUCUCUACUUAUCACUAAGACAAGGAGAAAUUUAUCUAUGUGAAAAGGCUAACAUCAUGUCUACUCAACAUAAUUAUAAAAAAAAAACAAAUAGCUGAAUAAGUAAGGAAUGCUCAUAACAUUCAAUAAUUAAAAUAUGUAUUGAUACAAAUAAACUUUAUUGAUAAUUAAAGAACAUCUGUUUUGUGAACAUGAGAAUAAAAAACAAUAUGAAGUAACUCAAAUUCUGCUCAAGUCUUGAGACCUCGUGUGUAUCAUAAAUACAUCUCCAGUCAAUUGAUUAGUCAAUGAAUCUUCUAAUAUAUCUCUUACAUUCUUGAGUUAGUAUCUGUUUAUUAUGAAAUUUUAAACACUUUAUCUUUUGUUAUUGCUUUCAUAUUGGAGUUGAGUUGAGGUGAGUUUGUCUUCCCAUAUUAUCAGUUUAGUUAGCUAUGUUUCAGUUUCCCCUUACAUGCUUGUACAUUCAAUGUACUGACGUCAUUCGACCUGCAUCUUAUAAUGAUGCAUAUACAAGCUUACAAGAUUAUGAACAAGUGCUUCGUUGAGAUCAUUUGACAUUCUAGUUAGCUUUGAUGAGCCUUCUUGUAUUUCGGAGGACUUCAUCUUUACCUUAAAUUUAGUAUUUUUCAUAUGCCGUGGGUCUUAUCCCGAUAUCCUUCAUAAUACUAGAGGCUUCAUAGAUAGAUAGAGUUGAGAAGUUUUUCAGUUGUUACUUUCUUUGAGUUGUUUUACAAACUAUAAGUAUUUCUAUUGAGUAUUGUUCAGACUUUUUGAGUUAAGUAUUUGAGUUUAACAGAUUUGAUUCAGUUUUAAGUGUAUUAUUGCUUGAGUUAGUCUUCCGCUUGUAGUCCGUCAAGAUAAGGGUUUGUUUGUGGACCAUCAAUGGUUCUCGAGUGUCGGCUAUGUCUAGGGUGUAGGCUCGGAUCGUGACAGUCUGAAUACAAAGCUCUUGAUAUAUAAAUCUUAUGUCUGUUACGUUAAAAAUGGAUUAAUCAAUUUACAAUUCCAUAAAACACGCAAUCACUGCUAAUCAAUCCCUCAUAAUGUGUAUCAACUUCAACAAUUCAAAAUUGUUCAAGCAGAUCGUCCAACAUCCUUUCAACUUUGAUUCAAAAUUUUCACAAAUUUGGAGAAGAUACAUCGUGAAUAUAUCAAUUUUGCUAAGAUAUUCAUGAAUCUAAAAAAAUUUGAAGGUAUAAAUGAUACGGAAGCGAUAGAAUCGUUGUUAGAAAAAUAUUUCAUUUGUGAAUCUAAAAUUAGCAUUGCAACUGAAUUGAGGAAAAAACUAGACAUUAGAUACAUCAUAAAAGAUAAUUUUAAUUCAUGACCAAACACACCUAAAGACACUUAAUACAAAGUUGAUAUUGAAUUCUGAUACAUAACCAUAUGUAUUGUGUUGGCUUUGAACUAGGGUGUUCAGUUAUGUAUUCGAUACAUAACAGUGGGUGUUGUAUGUAUCAGGCAAAAAACAAAAAUAAACAUUAGAUACAUCGUAGAAGAUAAUUCUAAUACAUGACUAAACACACCUAUAUAAAUCUGAUACAUAAAUUCUAAUGCAUAACCAUGUGUCAGCUUUGUAUUCAGUGUGUUUAGUUAUGUAUUUGAUACAUAACAAUGAAUAUUGUAUGUAUCGUGUAUUAAAAUAUAAUGAAAGCUUGCAUAGUUAUGUAUCAGAUACAUAACUAUAAACAAGAUUCAUACUGAUUUAGGUUUGAAAUAAUUGAGGUUAUGUAUCAACAAUAACAUUUGUGUCAAAUACAUUAUACACAAACAAAGUUGUAAUGUAUCUAAUAGUUGAAACAUAAACAUGAUACAUAAGUAAACACACAUGAACCAGUUACAUUAAAAAUUUGAAUCAUGGGUAGAGAAGACCGUAUAGUAAAACCAUCGACUCCUCCCCCCCCCCCCCAAUUUUUUUGAAGGUCAAUACUAAACUAUGGACCAGAAUUCAUAUGUAUCAGAACUUUAGGAUGAAGAAUAUAAAAUAAAAUAAAAAGUCAAAAUCUGAUCAACUGAAAGCAAACAAAGGUGAUGAAGAAAUCCUUUUACUUUUUUAAGAACUUGAGACUGAUGGGAAAAAAUCCGAAAUAACACGGUUGUAAUUCAAAAAUGGUGACUUGGAGGAAAUUGUUGAUACAUGCCAUGAUUUUAGGCAUUAAAUUGGGGAAGUUACGCGUGAAGAGUGAUGCAUCCGAGAAUAAGAGAGAUGGUGAAGAAAAUAGGAAACUUUGUAAUUUUUUCAAAAUGAUACGAAAUUUUAGAAAAUAUGGUAAAAAGGUUGCGUAGUUGGAUAUUUUUACCUUAAUAAUUAUGUUUAUGAUUUUGACUAGUUAGCUAAUUUUCCCAAAUAUAAAAUAAUAACAAUUUCAUAGCCCAAUCCAAACUAAUUCAGCAAAUACUCAUUCUCCCAAAAUGAAUUACAGUCCAUAUCCCCCCUUUAGUUUAGGCCAAAUUUCCUUUCAACCCCUUUAAAUUUAGGCCGAAUCACCCUAACCCUUUUAAAUUUAGGUCCAAUUGGCCCAACCCAAUUUUUUUGUCCUAUUAUUUUGUUCUUUUUUCUCAUUUAUUAUUUUUAUCCUAUCAUUAAUUACUUUUAUUCUUUCUCAUUUAUUAUUUUUAUUAUUUCUUUUAUUAUUUUUAUUCUUUUUAUGUUAUUCUUUAUUAGAGAUAUCAUUUAAUAUUUUUUUUAUUUUUUAUUUUUGUUAGUUUAUCUUCUUUUUAAUUUUUUUCUCUUUCUAUAUUUUUACCUUUUUAAGAAAAUAAAAUAAAUUACCUUUGUUCUUUUCUUAUUUAUUAUUUUAAUUUUAUCUUUUAUUCUUUUUUCAUAUAUUAUUUUUAUUCCUUUUUCCAUAUUAUCCUUUAUUAGAAAUACCAUUUGGUAACAUUUUUAUCUUCUUUUUUUUUCUUUUUUGUAUUAGUUUAUCUUCUUCUUUUUCUUUUUUUUUUUCUUUCUAUAUUUUUACCCUUUUAAGAAAAUAAAAUAAAUUAUUUUUGUUCAUCACUUUUGUUUUUUUUUUCUUAUUUUUUGUUUUUUUAUUUUCUCAUUAAUAUUUUUAUUCUUUUUUUCAUUUUAUCCUUUAUUAGAGAUACAAAUUGAUAAUAUUUUUAUUAUUUGUUUUUUUCUCCGUCUUUUUUUUAAAUUUUUUUUUGUCCUUUCCCCCUUUUUGUUAGUUUAUCAUCUUUUAAUUUUUUGUUCUCUUUCUAUAUUUUACCUUUUUUAAGAAAAUAAAAUAAAUACAAAAAACUACUUUCAUAGUAAUAAAAACAAACAACUAGACUACAAUAAUAACUAAAUAAGAAAAAUACAUAAUUAUGUGAUUUUGGGUCUGUAUAAACUACAUUUGACAUUUAGUGUGGUUUUCUUAAAAAUAAAUAUAGAAUUAUGUGUCAUUUUACUUUUCUUCCCACAAUAUUCAGUAUUUGAUUCUUCUGCUUCCGUCCUAAAUGAUACCAUAUCAGUAUAUGAUAUGUUGUGAUGAAAUCAUUGAGAAAUGAGUUGGUUAUAUAUGAAUAGUUGUCGGAAACCUUAAUAAUACCAUAACAAUAUAUGAAUAUAUGAAAAGAGUACUUAAUGAUACCUUAACAAUAUAUGAAUAUAUGAGAACAAUACUUAAUGAUACAUGUCAGUAUGUUAUAUGUUGUGAUGGUAUCAUUGAGAAAUGAGUUGGUUAUAUAUGAAUAGUUGUCGGAAACCUUAAUAAUACCAUAACAAUAUAUGAAUAUAUGAGAACAAUACUUAAUGAUACAUGUCAGUAUGUUAUAUGUUGUGAUGGUAUCAUUGAGAAAUGAGUUGGUUGUACAUCAACAGUUGUAGGAAACCUUAAUGAUACCAAAUCAGUAUAUGAAUAUAUAAAACAAUCCUUAAUGAUAUCAUAUCAGUAUAUGAUAUGUUGUAAUGGUAUCGUUGAGAAAUGAGUUGGUUGUAGGAAACCUCAAUGAUACCAUAGCAGUAUAUGAAUAUAUGAAAUAGUUCUUAAUGAUACCAUGUUAAUAUAUGAUAUGUUGUGAUGGUAUCAUCGAGAAAUGAGUUAGAUGUACAUGAAUGGUGGUAAGAAACCUUAAUGAUACCCAAUAUAUGAAUAUAUUCUUAUGGUAUCAUUAAGUAAUGAGUAAUUUUGCAAAUGAAUGAAUGAAGUAAACCUUAGUGUUACCACAACAGUAUAUUCAUAUACUAUAACAAUAUUAUACAUGAUCUAAGGUGUGUUCCAAUAUAUUAAAUAGUCAUUCAUUCUACAUAUGUUGUGAUGGUAUCAUUGAGAAAUCAUGAAUUCAUCCCUUGAAGGACUGCUCAUUAGUCUAUGAUACCAUGGUAUUAUAUAUAUAAUGUGUUGGCCUAACCUAUUGGUAGCCCCCUAAAGUUGGCACAAUGUUUCACUUAGACACCUUAACUGAGCGAUAUUCAUUUUAGACACUCCGGGUAGAAUCUCACAGUGCCAUUUUGACACUUUUUACUUACAUGGCAUAAUGAGUGUGAUACACUCAUUGGUAGGCGCAUGAAGUGGUUAUUUAGUUACUUUUUAAUUUUUUAUUUCUUCUUCUCCAUUUUCAACCACCAUUUUUCUCCAAGUUAAAUCUCAUCCAUUGUAAAUGAAGGUUUCAACAAAAAUAAUGGAAUUAUUCAUUAAAUUCUUUGCGCUGGGGGAGGCCGGGGGGUUAUUUGGAGAUAAGAAAAAAUCAACUGGUUGCACAGCGUUCUGCAAAAAGAGGUCGGGUAUUUGGCGGAGAAAACACGGGAGGUGGUUGCAGAAGGCGAUCGGGUUUGGGGUGGGGGGGGGUUAGAGAAGACGAUGGGGUGGGGAUUUGGAGCAGGCGAUUUGGGGUUGUGGGGGUAGUUUAAAUUUUAUUUUAUUUUGUUAUUAUUUGGGGAGUUUAUUUUAUUUUGUAAUUAUUUGGGGAAAAAAUAUUACGUGUCAUUAAUUUAAUGGUCAAUUUUUAUUUUUAUUCAACAUUAAUUAUUUAAAAAUUACUUUUGACAUAAAUGAUAAAUGUCGUGGUUUAAUUCGUCAAUUUACACAUCAUCUGCGAGUGUAAUAUACACACAUUAUAUGUUUUUGUUGAUAUUAAAAAAAGGUAUCAAAAUGACACAGCGGGAUCCUACAUAAGGUGUCUAAAAUGAACAUCGUCCAGUUAAGGUGUCUAAGUGAAAUAUCGUGCCAACUUUAAGGGGUCACCGAUGGAUUAGGCCUUAUGUGUUGGUAUCAUUGAAGAAUGAGUUGGUUGUACAUGAAUGAAUGUAGGAAACCUUAAUGAUACCAUAUGAGUAUAUGUAUAUAUUGUUAUUGUAUCAUCAAUGAAUGAUUAGUAUUGUGAACGAAUGAAGGAAGAAAGGAAAUAUUAGUUUUCCCAAAUUACUUUAAGAGGAACUUUCACAAAUAGCCACUAAAAUCAUUUUAAUUAGGUUUCAUAGUUAUAGUUUGCUAAUUACGAUUCGUAGCUAGUAGCUACAUAUUAGAGGGAGAAGAGAGGUGAGAGAGAUUGGGAGAGGGAGGAGAGAGGCGAGCGAGAGAGGGCAGAGAGUGGAGAGAGGCGAGUUGUAUAUGUAUAUCUGUCAGAUAAUUGUAUAUAUGUAACCGAUGUACAUAUUUAUUUGUAUACCUAGCGAGUGAGAUUGGGAGAGGGAGGAAAGAGGCGAGCGAGAGAAUGCAUAGAAUGGAGAGAGGCAAUUGCAUUAGUAUAUCUGUCAUAUAAUUAUAUAUGUAUAUGUAUAAUUUGUAUUUGUAUUUGUAUAUGUAUAAGCGAGGAGAGAGACGAGAGAGAGGAAGAAAGGAGAGACACACACGUAAUUAUAGCUACAAUUGAGUUGCAAAUCAUAAUUAAUUCAAACUAUAAUUAUAUUAGCUAAUUAAUUAGUAUAUGUUUGAUCAUCCGCGUAAUUUCCCCUUAAUUUAAUCGGGCCAUUAGCCCAAUCUACAAUACUUCUGAAAGUGGGCCUUCUGCCUAUUCAUUAUUGUAGCCCUCAAAAAUUAAAUGGGCUUUAAGCCCAAAUGUUUUAAUGUUUAAUCAGGCCAUUAGCCCAAUUUACAAUACUUUACCUUCUGCCUAUUAAUUAUGAUAGCCUUCAAACAUUAAGUGGGCUUUAAGCCCAAAAUAUUUAUCUUAAAAAAAAUAAAUGCAGUUGCUUAGGGAACCAACAAGUUUUAUGUAUUUUAAAAACUUUUCCCCUUGUGCUGGUUAGAACAAUUUCAAAAUUAAUUCAUUUUUCAUAGAUGAGACUGGUACUUAUUUCUUUGUGAAUUCAUUUAAUAUAACUGCUCAAUGUUUUGCAUUCAACUAGUGUUCUUCCUCAACAAGCAUAUAAGAGAGAUGUGGUUGGUUUGAAGGAAUAGGUAAUCCCUUAGUUCCUUUAAUAUGUUUUCGUUGAUGAGCUUACUUCUGAAUUUUCAGUUUUUGUUCGGAAAGUGAUUGAGCUUCAUGAUAAAUAUUUGGACUAUGUGAAUAAUUGUUUCCAAAACCACACACCUUUUCACAACUAUAGUUAUCUAAUUUAAUGUCCUACUCUAUGCAUUAGGGUAAAAGUAAAUUGCUCUAUAGAUCCCCUUCUCUUCUUUUUCCUCUAGAGCAUCUGCUUUUUCUUCAUAAUACUAGAGUAGGAGAAUGCUGAUAAUAGAUCUCACUUGCAGGUAGUGUAGCUGCUAGUUUAUAUUAGUGAUAAAGACUUGUUUGCAGAAUUCUAUAAGUAGAGUUACCUCUAGUGUGUAUCUCAACCACUACUUGCAUAGUAGCUUCUUCUCUGUUAUUUGAUAAGAGUGCCAAUGAGAGAAGUAUCCUAACAAAGUUGAAGCAGCAGUGUGGGGGACAGUUCACAUCAAAGAUGGAGGGAAUGGUAAGCUAUCUAGAUCAAUUAUGCUGAAUUUGAGGCUAUGUUCUCUGGUGACUUUCUUCUUCUCUUUCUAUAGGUCACAUAUUUGACAUUGGCAAGGGAAAAUCAAGGCAACUUUGAGGAGUAUUUGAGCAAUAAUCCAAUAGCAAAUCCAGGAAUUGACUUGACGGUAACUGUCUUGACUACUGGCUUCUGGCCUAGCUACAAGUCUUUUGAUCUCAACCUCCCAGCAGAAAUGGUAUAUCAUAUCAAUAUGUUAAUUGGCAUUAUGCAGUUGAUUUUAUCUUGGUUUUGACCCUUAUUCCUCUUGCUGAAGUUCUUCUCUUUCGGCAAAGAAUGAUGCAUGUUUUUUUUCUUGAAUCAUUUUUCUUCUCAAACAUCUUGUCAUUGAUUCAUUUUAUGCUGCACAUUGUCAGGUUAAGUGCGUUGAAGUAUUCAAGGAGCUCUAUCAAACAAAAACAAAGCACAUGAAACUUACAUGGAUAUACUCUUUGGGAACUUGCAACAUAAAUGGAAAUUUUAAGCCAAAGACUAUUGAGCUCGUUGUCACUACUUAUCAGGUUGACUGUUGGCUUACUUUUUGAAAUUGGAUAGGCUUAGUUAAUUUAAAACAUUUUUAUUACGUUAUCAAUGAGAAAAUGAGAUUGGCACUUCUUCCUCGUAGGCUUCUGCUCUGCUACUCUUAAUGCAUCAGAUAGAUUGAGUUAUCAGGAAUUCAUGACACAAUUAAACUAUCAGAUGAUGAUGUUGUUCGGCUUCUUCAUUCCCUUUCAAGUGUGAAGUACAAGACUCUCAACAAGGAGUCAAGCACCAAAACAAUUUCUCUGACUGAUGUUUUGAGUUCAACUCAAAGUUCACUGACAAAAUGAGGAGGAUCAAGGUAUUGAUUAAUGAUGAGUAAGGUUAGCCUUUCUACUCUGAAUUGUUGCACUACAUUACUGACCCCAUGAGGAUAUUGCUGUAAUGGUAUGCAGAUACCUCUCCCUCCUGUUGAUGAGAAGAAAACGGUAAUUGAAGACGUUGACAAGGAAAGGCGGUAUGCUACAGAUGCUUCAAGUAGUUGGGGUGGGGGAUUGGGUGGGUAAGAGGAGACAAUAAACUUGGAAUGUCGCAGUGUCACUUAUGCAACUCGUUUUUCAUAUAUUCAUUAGGAAAGUCAUUUUCCUAGAGAAAAUAUUUUUCUAACAUUUUGACCAAUCAAAUAUAGAAAAUGUGAAAAACAUACACAAAUUCUCACUAUUUCCAUUUUUGCCAAGGUAAUUUCUUGGUUUUUCAUUCAGGGUUUUUGGAAAUUUAUCCCUACUAUUUUUGGGUUUUAUGCAUUUUUACCUCAAUUGCUUGAGUACUCUCUUUCUUUUUUGUUUCUUUUAUUGAGAAUGUCGUCUACUUUUACUUCACGACAUUCUCAAAAAAGAAAAAAGAUAGUACUCAAGCAGUUGAGGUAAAUAUGCAUAAAACCCAAAAAUAGUAGCGAUAAAUUUGCAAUAACCUUGAAUGAAAAACCAAGAAAUUACCGUGGCAAAAAUGGAAUAGUUAGAAGUAUAAGGGGGUUUUCGAGGAAACAGGAAAAACACAUAAAAGGGGGAAAAGAUUCACAAAUCACCCUAUUCUCUUCUUGUCAUAAAUGGUUCCACACUGGAUUUACAGGUUGUACUUUUCCCAUUAGUCCAUAAGGAUCGGACACCCAUAUUCCGGGACCAUACAAGCUUGUUACAUUAAAUGCACCAAAACCAAAACAAGCCACCCCUGAGAGAAAUAAAUGAAUUUCAAAGAGGGUUUUCCUGUACAUUCAUCACAAAAUAUUUCUAGAUCCCAAUACAAUACACCCAAUGCCAGAUAGCUGCUAGCUCCGUCUUUUUCCCUCAUCAGGUCUAACUCUCCGAUCACCCUUUUCGGAAAAUUCCUUCGCUCUCCGGUGACAUCACAGGUAUAUUUUCCAUUUAAAUUGUGACCUGCGAUUUGAUGUACAUUGUUCCUACGUAUGUAUAUACCUAUGAUGCAUAGUUGAUGUGAUUGUUUUGGUUUAAUUGGAUCUCCCUUUGCUUCAGAUUGAUCCUGUUACUGAUUUUGUUUCCGGUAGCUAUUAAAAUUGUGUUGUUUUGUAACCUGAAUUAACCGUGGUGCACUUGCGGGAAAAUCCUUGCCGAGGGCCUGUGCACCCCCGGGAUUAGUCGGGGCUCAAAGAGACUCGGACACCCGGUGCAAAUCAAANNNNNNNNNNNNNNNNNNNNNNNNNNNNNNNAAAAAAAAAAAAAAAAAAUAAAAAAAAAAAAAAAAAUUUGUGUUGUUUUGUUUAAUUUCAAAAAAAGAAAUUGUGUUGUUUUGCUGUGGUUGAUUUUGCGAUCUUCAGAGCUGAGAUUGAUUGACUAGUUUUAUGUUGUUUUUUAUUUCUCUAUAGUUGAUUUGAGCACGAGUGUUUCGUCCUUUUGAAAUUAGGUAUAGUGGAAGUUUAGUGUUCAUUACUGGUAGGGUUUGAGUUUAAUUUUUGGUUCAUUCUUUGUUGCAACUAACGACAUCCUUGUAAACUAGAAAUUCAAUAGGAAUAACUGAUUCCAGAACUUUGUUUUAUUUCGUUAACUGCCUGAAACUUUAGAUUUUUCAGCUAUGUUGUUUGGACUCUUCAAAAAUGUCAACAGGUGUGUGUCGGAUCCUCCAAAAAUAGUGUUUUUUGAAGGAUCCGACCAACUUAGCUUUUCAGUGUCUUUGAUGAGUGUAAUUUAAUGGAAGAUUUUUUUCUUAUUCCAGUAGGUGAACAAUGAAUAAAUACAAUACAUAAAGUGCUAAGUGCUAACUAAGGAAAGAAAUUAAGAGUGAUUCCUAUAGAUCUGCAGUGAUCCCUAUAAAUCUGCUGCCCAUAUAUAGCUAUGUAUAUUACUAAGAUUAAGUCUAUAUACAUUCUAUAACACUCCCCCUCAACCUGGAGCAUAUAUGUUGAUCAUGCCCAGCUUGUUACAAAGAUAAUCAACUCGAGUUCCAUUCAACGUCUUUGUGAGCAAAUCAACUACUUGCUCUCUUAUCUUCACUUAGCUAGUGGAAGUCAGUUUUCCUGAAUCUUCUCACGAAUAAAAUGACAGUCAACCUCAAUGUGUUUAGUUCUUUCAUGACACAUCAGAUUUGAGGCAAUAUGCAAGGCAACUUGAUUAUCACACCAAAGUUUUGUUGGUAUGUGAUGUUCCAACCCAAUUUUAGUUAGAAGAUGAUGUAUCCACAUAAUCUCACAUGUAGACUGUGACAUAGCUUUGUACUCAGAUUCUGCACUGGAUUGAGAUACAACACUUUGCUUCUUACUCCUCCAUAAAACUAGGUUCCCUCCAAAGACAUAAUAGCCUGUAGUUGAUCUCCUGUCAAUUUUGGAUCUAGCAUAGUCAGCAUCUGCAAAACACUCAACACGAGUAUGACUGUGAUUGCUAUAUAAAUCCCAAGUCCAGGGGAUCCUUUCAAGUAACAUAAAAUCUGUUCCAAAGCUGCCCAGUGUUUAACUGUAGGCGAGGACAUAAACUGGCUAACAACACUUACUGCAAAAGCAAUGUCUGGACGAGUGACAACAAGGUAGUUUAACUUCCCAACUAACCUCAUGUAUCUCUCAGGAUCAUCAAAGGGGUCGCCGUCAUCUUUCAUAACCUGCACAUUGGGAGCCAUUUGAGUACUGCAAGGUUUAGCUGCCAACUUUCCAGUGUCUGCAAAAAGAUCAAGAAUAUAUUUUCUCUGAGACAAAAAAAUUCCCUUCUUGCUUCUAUUCACCUAUAUACCCAAAAAGUAUUUCAACUGACCCAAAUCUUUCGUAUGAAACCUAGUAUGCCAGAAGGAUUUGAGGGAAGAGAUCCUCGCAUAAUCACUUCCUGUGAUGACAAUGUCAUCAACACACACAACCAGGAUAGUGCCAACUUUUGAUUGUUAGUAGAAAACUGAGUGAUCACAUUUACUCAUUUUCAUCCCUAACUCCAGGACUACCCCACUGAACUUCCCAAACUAAGCUCAGAGACUCUGUUUCAAGCCAUACACAGACUUCUUCAAAUAACAGAUUCUCCCAUACUCCCCCUGAGCAACAAAACCAGGUGGUUGCUCCAUAUAUACUUCCUCUUGAAGAUCACCAUGAAGGAAUGCAUUUUUGAUAUCCAACUGAUGUAAAGGCCAAUUCUCAGAAACAGCUAAAGAAAUGAACAAGCUGACGGAAGUAAGUUUGGCAACUGAAGAGAAAAAGUCUGAAUAAUCCACUCCAUAAGUUUGAGCAUACCCUUUAGCCAUAAGCCUAGCCUUAAGUCUUGCCACAAAACCAUCUAGAUUAACUUUAACUGUGAACACCCACUUACAUCCCAUUAGUUUCUUCGUGCUAGGUAAAUCCACUAAAUCCCACGUGUGAUUUUCCUCUAAGGCGUGUAUUUCCUCAAGCAUCGCAUCAUACCAUCCAGGAUGGUUCAAAGCUUCUUUCACUGUUUUGGGUAUAGAGAUGGAGUCUAAAGAAGGAACCAAGGACCUCGACACAGAGGAUAAGCAAUCAUAGGAAACAAAAGUAACAAUGGAACCGGUGAAGAGCAAUAGAGAGAUCCAAAUUCUCUGAAGGAUCGGGUGAAGAAAGAUUUGAUAACAGAGGAACCGGUGCAGAACAUGUAUCGUCGAUCUCUUGUCUCCUUGAAUAAACUUGAACAAUUGGUGGUCUUGCUGGAGUAGAAGUUGUAGGCCCAAUAGUCAAUUGGUGUUCAAUAGGGGAACUAGGAGAUUGAAGUACAUUAUUUGAUUGUUCUGUCACAACCCGAGCAACCUGAUAGAGUAACCACUCAUCUUCCUCCUCUUGAGUUGUAUAAAUGGGAGGUGCAUGGAAGAAUGGUGGUCUCUGAAAAAUACCACAUCAUUUGACACCAAGUAUUUACCAAGCUUAGUAGAAUAACAUCGAUACCCCUUCUGAAGGCAUGAAUAACUCAAGAAAAUAGACUUCAAUGCCUUAGGAUCCAACUUGGUAACAGAUGGCUGAACAUCUCAAACAUAACACGUGCUUCCAAAUACCUUAGGCUCCACCGAAAAUAGUGACUUGUUUGGAAAAAUAACAUUGUAAGGCACAUUACCAACAAGAACAAUCGAUGGCAUGCGGUUAAUCAAAAAACAAGUUGUAGAGACUGCAUUAGCCCAAAAUUGUUUAGGAACCUUCAUUUGGAACAAAAGUGCUCGACUGUCUCAAGUAGAUGCCUAUUCUUUCUCUCAACAACUCCAUUUUAAGAGGGUGUAUCAACACAUGAAGUUUGAUGGAGAAUACCAUGUUGUCUCAUGUAGGACUGAAAUAAUUCUGACAUAUAUUCUUUAGCAUUAUCACUCCAUAGACUACGCAUUGAAGUAUUGAACUGAGUUUUGACUUCAGCACAAAAGUGAGUAAACACUUCAGAACGACUCUUCAUAAAGUAAAUCCAAGUCAUUCGAGAGAAAUCAUCCACAAAUGUGACAAAAUACUUAUGUCCAGUUUUGGAAACAACAGGACAUGGUCCCAAACAUCAACAUGAACUAACUCAAACUUCUUCCAUUAAAAAAGAAAAAGGUAGUCUUUAUCGACUCCACCCGCUUAUUAAUCUUGGAUUUGUUGAGCUACGAUGGUGUUUAGCAAAUUGACAUGACUCACAAUCUAGUGAAGGAAUAUUCUGAAACUGAGGACAGAGCUUCUUCAACAUAGGCAAAGAAGGAUGCCCUAAUCGACAAUGUGCCUCAAAUGGAGACACGACACAAGAGUAGGCAGCAAAUCGAGGCUCCCAAUAUUCAUCAAGAAUGUAGAAACUAUCAGAUACAUGUCCUUUACCAAUAACUUUAUUUGUCUUCAGAUCACGAAACAAACAAUGACCGACAAAAAUGAGAUAUAAUAGCCUAGGUAUCUGGUAAACUUUCUAACAGACAUCAAAUUAAAGGCUAACUUUGGUAGACCUAAUACAUAUCACAAGGUAAUGGAAGAAGUUAGUUUUACAGUCCCAGAUCCUAUAACAUUACAGAUUGAACCAUCAGCAACUGUCACAGGAGAGAGUGCUCCGUGUGAUUGAAAGCUAGAAUAUAUGUUAGGAUUACCUGUCAUGUGAUUUUCGAAGAGGAUAUAAGACAUGCUUUUCCUGACUCAACAAGGGUAGUAACUGAAAUAGAUUAUUUUUGUAAUUUUUGAUAUUGUGAGAAUUUUGUAAACUCUUUCGCCGAAAUCAAAAUUCUUUUAUCCGAAGACAUAUGAGCCACAAUUUUAGUCAUUCUCUCCAAAUAUUUUAGCAACACAAGAACUCAUCAACAAAAAUAUAACCAGAAGAAUGUAUGUGACCCCACAAAUACAGAUGAACAAAGUCUAAAAAUGGUUUUAUCAACUAAGAAACCAAUUGUCCACCCAAAAUAAAGGAACUGAGUACUUUACCGGUAGACAAGAGCACAUAGUGAACAAUCAAGUAGUUCAGAGAAAGAAAUCCUGAACCGCAACUUAUGAUAAAAAAACACCAAUUAUAUGAAAUGAAGUAGAAGCUAGAAGCCACAAAUCACAAACCAAAUUCAGUGUCGCAGAAUAGAAAUGAACCUGGAACGAACGAACUUUCCAGAUUGUAUUUUAACACCAAAAUAGACCUGAGAAGGGACGAACAAACAUUCCAGAUGGUAUUUUAACACUAGAGCACACUUGACAUUCGCCAGAAAUACGUUUCUAGAUUGUAUUUAACACCAAAAUAGACCUGAGAAUCGCUAGAAAUACGUGCCGAUGCUGGAAAUUCAAAAUCCAAUCAAUUCAGCCAGACACGCACCUUCACGUGCCGGUGCGUGAUGAACAAAAGAACCGUAUGAGCGGUGUGUGGCAACCACUCGCUUCACAACCAGAGGCCGGUGACGACUGGUUUGGCUGGAAAAUAUACUCCGCCUCCUUCUGUGGUGGUGAUAGUAGACUGACCACUUUAAAUCAGUGGAAUAGAAAUCCAAACUUCUUCCGUAACACAACCAAAACGAAACGAGCCUAUAAGCUCUGAUACCAUGUAAUUGAAUGGAAGAUCUUAUUCUUAUUCCAGUAGGUAAACAGUGAAUAAAUACAAUACAUAAGGUGCAGACUAAAGAAAGAAAUUAAGAGUGAUUCCCAUAGAGCUGCAGUGAUCCCUAUAAAUCUACUGCCUAUAUAGCUAUAUUACUAAGAUUAAGUCUAUAUACAUUCUAUAACAAUGAGUAUUUUCUUUUGAUAUUCUCAGUUUUAUUUACUUAUUGAUUUAUAUACAUUAUUGGAAAAUGUUGUAUGCGUUUUUUUUAUGCAACCCAGAAAAGAUUUUAAAAGUACAUAUCUUUUAGGGCAAAGUGUGCAAUUUUUGUAACUCUAGUUUAUCUAGGUCCUAGGAAUCACUUGGUGAAACUUAGUUCUUGUGGAAUUCCUAUCAAGUCAGGGUCUUGGGGAACCAAGUCAGAACCAUGAGGAAUCAAUCAAUUACGUUGAAUGUGCUUAGAGAUGUAUCAUAUGAUACCAGCCGACAUGUCUCAUGCCACCAAAAUGUUGUUACCGUGUGGGUAUUGGUCCAAUAACUGCAGUUUCCUGAAAAGUGCCUCUUUCCAGGGCGAAGGACGUUAAGAGCUUGCAAAAAAAUUGCUGAAUCAAUCCCUAAAUAGUACUUAGAAUAGAAUUUCUUUUCACCGAGUAAUAAGCAUGAAUAAAAAGUAAGCUCACGUGAAUAUUGAGUUAUACCUGUGAGUUAUUUUGUUAUGAAUCAUGAGCUUAGAUGAUUAGUUGGCAAGUAAAUAUCAAUAGCGGAUGAGGUAAUUACUUAGGGUUUUUAUUUUGGCGCAAUGUAGGUAGUCUCUACUGCAUAUUAUUCAACUCUUGUGGAGCUCUCUCGAAGGCUUUUUUUUGUGACAUGUACUUUAACUUUAUGCUUAUCUCAGCACUUCUAAAAUUUUGGAGUUUGGACUUGUUUAGUUACGUAAAUGGUUCAUUUGUUCUUGAUAAUUCAUUAUACUGAAAGUCCUAUACACCCAACUAAAUAUCCAAUUUAGAGUGGUAACGAAUCUUUAGAAGACCAAGAUCACACUGAACCAAUAAAAUACCCACUACCUUUUCCAAUUAGGCAUCUAUAACUGUGGUAAUUCGGAACAUUUCCAGUUAGUGAACUUUUAUUCGUUCCUUUAUUAUUUAUUCUAUUCUUGUGCUCCUUAAUCUUCUCUCCUCUUUGUUUUACUUGAAUUUAAGCCUCCAAUAGUAGUCCUGUUUCCUGUCUUGAUUUUUAGUCAUAUUCUUCUACCCUUUCUAUAGUGAGACCCAGAAAUGGCUCAAGGUACUUGUGCGAUUCUUAGUAUGCAUCGCUCCUUAACAGCCCCCCACUUUGAUGCCUUGAAACCCAAGUAUUCUGGUCCAUAUGUCAAGGAUACAGCCAAGUUUGUAGCCUGUCCAACAUCACACUUUGGUAUUUAAUAAGAUCAUUCUUUCAGUCAUUUGUUCGCUUAUCUCAACAGUAAAGUCAACUAUCAAUGUGAUUUGAUUUUCUGACUGGCUUAUAAAUUGCUUGAUUUUCAUACUAGCUUUUGUUGAGUUUAGUUGGUGAUGUUAUUUAGUUUGGGAACAGGGAGACAGGUGUUUGGAAUUUGUGUAGGGUUGCAUUCUGUUAAAUUGUAAAGAUAUUGAAAUCACAAUGAACCAACAUAGCACAAUCGAUCUGAAACAUGGAUGGGACUUCAUGCAAAGGGGCAUUACAAAAUUGAAGAACAUUCUAGAAGGGCUGCCUGAGCCUCAGUUCAGCUCAGAGGACUAUAUGAUGCUGUAUACGUAUCCUUUUAGACUCCCACACUGUUAGGCAUGUUGAUAACUUGGAUUUGAUUCACCUUUUGUUUCCUUAAUUCUACUAACAGGACAAUUUACAACAUGUGUACUCAGAGGCCCCCACAUGAUUAUUCUCAACAGCUGUAUGACAAAUAUCGUGAACCUUUUGAAGAAUAUUUCACAACAACGGUAAGGGUAGCUGCAGUUUUCAUAAGCAUUUCACUUUAGUAGAGAUUAAACAAGGUACUACAAUAAAACAAGAAAAAAAAGAAUUGAAGAAGUAUUAUUCUUAAUAAUUCUUUGAUGUUUGUAUAUCCAUGUACCAUUCUUGAUUGUUUGCUCUCUAUGUAUCAUUCUGGAAUGUUUGGAACUUAUAAAAAUGAUUUCUGUAAUAAAGAAACAGAAAAUCAUUAGUCUGGUGAGCCCUUUGUUGCUGUUUUAUUUUUUGAUUUUAGCGAUGUAAACAAAGUGGGGUUAGUAUGGGUAGUUUCCGUGGUUCCCUCUGUGAUUUUAUUUUAUGCCCUCUAUUAUUUUAUUUAAUAAGGAUCCAUGUGCAAGUAUCAACAUUUUUAUGGGAUCUGAACGUAAUUCAAGCAUUGCUUUCCCAAGAGGCAUAUUAUCUUUUAGUUUUAUUCCCUCUAUCAUGAGAUUCAAAUUUAGAAAGGCUGCUCUUGCUGCUUCUUCAUCCCAUAGAAUAUUAAGAAAAGGAUACGGGGAAAGUGGAUAGAAGUUUCAAAACACAGCUAAAUUUCAUGGAUCUUUUUGUAUGUUAUUUUAGGCAUGCAAUUUUGCUUAGGAGUUUAAAAUGAUGAAAACUCAAAUUUGGCUUAAAGAUUGUUUACCUAAUUUUUGUUUCUCCAAAUAAUUCUACCUUCUCUAAAUUUGACACUGCAAUUCAAUUUCAAAAUAGGUAUUGCCUUCUUUGAGAGAAAAACAUGACGAGUUCAUGUUGCGAGAGCUGGUAAAACGGUGGUCAAAUCAUAAGAUCAUGGUCAAAUGGUUGUCUAGAUUCUUCCAUUAUCUUGACUGCUAUUUCAUUGCCCGGAGAUCUCUGCCGGGGCUUAAUGAAGUUGGAUUAACUUGCUUCCGUGAUCAGGUAAUUAUGGUUCUCCUUCUCUUUUCAAUCAAAACUUUGUUUCUAUGGUCAUCUAUUAAAACAUCUCCACCUGAUCCCUUGGUCAAAGCACUGAGUUCAGCUCAUGGCUUCUAUAGUGAUUUUUUUUAAUUCUGUUUUCUGGGUUUUGCCUAUUCUAGAAUUCGGUUUUCAGUUUGACAGUAUACUCAACUGCUUCCACGUCCUUUUACGAAAAGAUGUUACCAUUUAGUCCCUGCAUCUCAAUUAUGUGAAGGUGUUUGACUGGGCACACAGUUUAAGAGAAAAAGAAAGAAUUUUGAAACUUGUGGUAUAAAGUAAGCUAUAGAAACUUUGUGAGUAUAAAGUAAAACAAGAAAUGUGAAUUUAAAUUGUUACUUAUUAUGGAUAGAUGUCCCUUUUUUGAGGACUGACUAAAAUAUAAAGAGUAUCACAUAAAUUGAAACAGAGGUAAUAUCUUACUGGGUGACUGUUUUCUAUUUUAGGUCUACCAAGAGUUGAAUGGAAAAGUCAGGGAUGCUGUUAUAUCUUUGGUAUCUCCUUUGUCUUGCUUUGAGUUCUCACUACCAUUUCUUUUUUCCUUUUAAUUGAGCAAUAACAUUCCUCUAACCAGAUUGAUCAAGAGCGUGAGGGAGAGCAAAUUGACAGAGCUCUACUAAAGAAUGUGCUAGAUAUAUUUGUUGAAAUGGGAAUGGGGUCGAUGUAUUAUUAUGAGUACGAUUUUGAAGAUGCAAUGCUCAAGGACACUGCGGCUUAUUAUUCUUGCAAAGCUUCUAACUGGAUCCUCGAAGAUUCAUGUUCAGAUUAUAUGCUAAAAGUUAGUAUACCGCGUAUGCAACCCCUUGAUUCUGCCAUUCUUGCCCUGUUGUUUCUUCUGUCUAUCUUUUUUCUGGUUAAUGUCCAUAUGUUAACCUACAUAAUCAUGUCAAUGUUACUUUAGGCUGAGGAGUGCUUGGAACGAGAGAAGGAUAGGGUCUCUCAUUAUCUCCAUUCAAGCAGCGAGACAAAGUUGCUUGAGGUUCGUUCUAGCUCUUAAUCUUUUUUCUUUACUGGAACUUUAGCCUUCAAGAUGGAGGAUGUUGCUAUCAGUUUUUGUUGUUCACAUCUUCUUUUUUCUGGAUCUAAUCUAUCAACUUUAAAUUAGUUGCAACCUUACUAGUCUCUCCUUUCUACAGAAAGUGCAACAUGAGUUGUUGUCUGUGUAUGGCACUCAACCUCUUGAGAAGGAGCACUCUGGAUGCCAUGCGUUACUAAGAGAUGAUAAGGUAGCUAGCAGCAUCUUAAUGACCACGUUUCGGAUUUUAUAUUUGCAGUAAUUGACACAAUCAUGAUUAUUUAAUUAGGUUGAAAAUUUAUCAAGGAUGUAUAGGUUCUUUUCUAAGAUUCCUCAAGGCUUAGACCCUGUGGCCAAUAUUUUUAAGCAGGUUUGUGAUCUCAUGACAUCAUAUUCUCGAUUGUAUACCAAUAAGUUACUUCACAUAUCCUUCUUUUUAAUCUGAAUGCAGCAUGUUACUGCUGAAGGUGCAGCUUUGGUAAAACAGGCUGAAGAUGCUGCUAGCAACAAAAAGGUUUGUACAAUCUAUCCUUUUCAAAUUCUUUGGUCUUGAGAAAUUUGGUUCUUCCUUAUUUGGCGUUUAUACACUUUGAGUUGACUUGGAACUUGUCAAACUAGAAGUUUUUGCUAUUUUAAUAUGCUAAGUUACUUGUGUUCAAGUGUCUGAUCAACUUAAUUUCAUAUUUUAGCACACCAUUUCUGACAUCAAUACUUUUAAGUUUAAAAGCUAUCUACUCUAGCUCCCAAGUCUUAGGAAAUACAAAUACCCCCUGCCACUCAAGUUUUAGAAAAUACAAACUAACCACUUACUAUAAAUAUUUUAGAAAUUUUAAAAAAAUUACAACAUCUGUUUCUUACCCACCAAAAUCUCUCCUUCCUUGCCAAUUUUCUGUCAUCCAGCUUGUUUUCCCGCAAAAAAUUGAAGCAUUUCACUGGAAAAUUACUCCACAUGACGAAAACCUCCUCAAGAUCAGCCAUUGUAGUUCCCCAUUAUUGUAGAAGCUCGAAAUAUUUCAUCCAUUAUAGAAGAAGCUCAUUUUUCCAGCAGCCUCUUUCCAGUCAUUCUCCAGCGACAUUUUGUUUUUACAUUUCACCAUUUUAGUAGCUCAUCUGACCUGUGAGAGAUCUAUCCCCGUGGUUUUCUUUUUUCUAGUAUUCUACAAUCAUCAAGCAGUGAGCAGUAGCAUCGACCAUUACUGGUUUAUUACAUCGUUUGCUGAAUAUAGUGGUGAUUAUGGUGGUGAAUGGGAGGAGACUUCAAAAUGUUGGAAGUGGAACUCUCUGAGUAAGGUGACAGUGUCCAUUGUCCUGCGUUGCAAUAGUACAUAUGACGACAUGGUUGAGGGAAUUAUUGAAUGCAGGGAAUUAAAUUGUGAACCGAGCAACUUGAUCAUUAGUUAUGGAUGAAUGCUAAGGGAAACAUCCAUCCAUCUUUCAUAACAAAUGAUAGGCACGUGGGGUUGUACAUGCUUGAUGUUGUCCCUGAUGGUUCUAGACUAGUUUUCUGGGUUAAAGUUGUUGAGAGGCAUGAAGAAGAAGAAGGUUCAACACCAUUAGGGUGGCUUGGGUGGGGGGGUUUGUCCCUAGAAAAUGCUUGAUAUAAAUAUUAGAGAAAGGGAAAUCCAUUCAUUAGAAAGCUCGUGCUGCUUCACAAAACAUCAAGAAAAAAGUGAUUGUAAACUCAGUGAAAAAAGUGACACCAAGUUCAGGGAGCUUUCUCAAAAAAUAGCAAUCCCUUGAAAAGGGGAGAUGACUGCUAGAAUAUAUUGUGUAUCAUAUCUUGAGUUGUCAGUUUGUGAGACUAGCAAUUUAUUGCUGAUUAGAGCAUUUUGCUUCAUUUUGUUUUGGGGGUGGGGGGUGGGGGUUCCCACCCAGUGUUCAAUACCCGCAUUGGGGCUCGAGUAAAUCCGGAUUCGCGCCGGAAUGUCUCACAGUGGGGUAAAGCGCUCCGUAAUAAAUGAAACUCGGUAACCAAGGGAACUCGAACGGAGUCCUGAUUAAGGAGUAUGGAGUACAUAGCACUCCACCAUAACCCUUGCUCGUAGCAUAUUGCUAUUCUGCUUAUUUUAAUUGCCAGUUUGUGCUUUUGAUGAGUUUUGUUCAGAGAUUUCUUUUUAACAUCAUCUCCUCUUUUUUAUCAAAAGCAUGAAGUCACAAAGUUUGACUUCAUCUCAGUGAUUGUUUUGUUUCAUUUACUUUAUUUAUCCUUCAGUACAUGAUCAUUGAUAAUUUUGGUGGUUGGGAAUGUUACUUCAAAGAAGUGGUAAUGUUCUUUAAAGCAAAACCCCCCCAUCAAGUGCCUUUUGUUGCAUUUCCUUCUUCUAUGUAUCUUAACUUUUCCCCUUAUGCUGUUUAGAACAAUGCCAGAAUUAAUUCAUUUUAUCUUUUUAGGGAUGAGACUGGUAUUUCUUUGUGAAUGCAUUUAAUAUAAUUGCUCAAUGUCUUGCAUUCUUUCUUAUCAACUAGUGUUCUUCAACAGGCAGAUAAGAGAGAUGUGGUUGGUUUGCAGGAACAGGUAAUCCCUUAGUAAAUCUGUUAUCUGGUCCUUGAAUAUGUUUUCGGCUGUUAACUUACUUCUGAAUUUUCAGGUUUUUGUUGGGAAAGUGAUUGAGCUUCAUGAUAAAUAUUUGGCAUAUGUGAAUAACUGUUUCCAAAACCACACACUUUUUCACAAGGUAUGUGUUGGAGCAAAGGAUAGUUGUCUAAUUUAAUUGUUCUACUCUGUGCAUUAGGUCUGUGCAUCAGGGUAAAAGUAAAUUACUAACAUAUGUCCUCUUUGUCACUUUCUAGGCACUUGAAGAAGCUUUCGAACUUUUCUGCAACAAGGGUGUUGCUGGUAGCUCAAGCACUGAACUUCUUGCCACAUUCUGCGACGUCAUUCUCAAAAAAGGAGAGAGUGAAAAAUUGAGUGAUGAAGCCAUGGAAGAGAUAUUGCAGAAGGUGAGCUCUUGCUCUAUAGAUCCCCUUCUCUUCUUUUUCUCAAGAGCAUCUGCUUUUUCUUCGUACUAAUGGAGCAGGAGAAAGCUGAUAAUAGAUCUCACUUGCAGGUGGUAAAGCUGCUAGCUUAUAUUAGUGAUAAGGACUUGUUUGCAGAGUUCUAUAGGUAGAGUUACCUCUACUGUGUAUCUCAACCACUACUUGAAUAGUUGCUUCUUCUCUGUUACAAGUUUAUGACUUCCGUUUUUUUCCAGGAGAAAACUAGCCCGGCGGUUGUUAUUUGAUAACAGUGCCAAUGAUGAACAUGAGAGAAGUGUCCUAAGAAAGUUGAAGCAGCAGUGUGGGGGACAGUUCACAUCAAAGAUGGAGAGAAUGGUAAGCUAUCCAGAUCAAUUAUGCUGAAUUUGAAGCUAUGUUCUCUGGUGACAUUUUUCUUCUCUUCUUAUAGGUCACAGAUUUGACAUUGGCAAGGGAAAAUCAAGGCAACUUUGAGGAGUAUUUGAGCAAUAAUCCAAUAGCAAAUCCAGGAAUUGACUUGACGGUGACUGUCUUGACUACUGGCUUCUGGCCUAGCUACAAGUCUUUUGAUCUCAACCUCCCAGCAGAAAUGGUAUAUCAUAUCAAUAUGUUAAUUAGCAUUAUGUUGAUUUUAUCUUGGUUUUGACCCUUGUUCCUCUUGCUGAAGUUCUUAUCUUUCGGCAAGGAAUGAUGCAUGUUUUUUUGCUUGAAUCAUUUUUCUUCUCAAACGUCCUUUCAUUGAUUCAUUUUAUGCUGCGCAUUGUCAGGUUAGGUGCGUUGAAGUAUUCAAGGAGUUUUAUCAAACAAAAACGAAGGACAGGAAACUUACGUGGAUAUACUCUUUGGGAACUUGCAACAUAAAUGGAAAUUUUGAGCCGAAGACUGUUGAGCUCGUUGUCACUACUUAUCAGGUUGAUUUUUGGCUUACUUUUUGAAAUCGGAUAGGCUUAGUUGAUUUGAAAUAUUGGUAUUAUGUUAUCAAUGAGAAAACGAGAUUGAGACUUCUUCCUUUUUCGUAGGCUUCUGCUCUGUUGCUCUUUAAUGCAUCAGAUAGAUUGAGUUAUCAGGAAAUCAUGACGCAAUUAAACCUAUCAGAUGAUGAUGUUGUUCGGCUUCUUCAUUCCCUUUCAUGUGCGAAGUACAGGAUUCUCAACAAGGAGCCAAGCACCAAAACAAUUUCUCCGACUGAUAUCUUUGAGUUCAACUCAAAGUUCACUGACAAAAUGAGGAGGAUCAAGGUAUAAUUAAUGAUGAGUAAGGCUAGCCUUUCUGCUAUGAAUUGUUGCACUACAUUACUGACCUUUUAAGGAUAUCGUUGUAAUGGUAUGCAGAUACCUCUCCCUCCUGUCGGUGAGAAGAAAAAGGUAAUUGAAGACGUUGACAGGGAUAGGCGGUAUGCUAUAGAUGCUUCAAUUGUGCGUAUUAUGAGGAGUCGUAAAGUAAUUGCCUACCAGCAACUGGUUGUGGAAUGCAUUCAGCAGUUGGGACAGAUAUUCAAGGUAUCCCCAGGAUAAACUUCUACUUCUCAAUUUUAAAGAUCGUUUUUCCAGUUUAACUGAGCUAAUUACUUUGUUUUGAAUACCCCAUAGCCUGAUGUCAAAGCUAUCAAGAAGAGAGUCGAAGAUUUGAUAAGUAGAGAAUACCUAGAGAGGGACAAAGAUAACCCAAAUUUGUUCAAGUACUUGGCAUGAUUUGUGCUGAUCAUAAUACUUGGAGAAACAGGCCGCCCAAGAUGAACUUCUUGGACCUUUGAUUGCCUUGCAUCAGGAGCUUGAAACAUUUUGUACAAAUGGACAAGAGCUUGAAACUCUCAUAUACUUGAGAUGUGAUUGCCUUAACUUCUUCCAAUCUUAUAUGGCCCUUUCACUUGCUCUAUUCUGUGUUUUGUUGGCUACCUGUUUGAGUAAACGUAAUAUCCUAGUCAACAGCUUACCCUCCCUAGAUUCAGCACAAUGGUAUUUACUUUUAGUACAUGCUCUGCAAUUGUACUUUGUUGGUUCUUUGUAGAUUGUGAUUUGGACCUUGGUGGUCCUUGUGGGGUUAUCUUUUAACCUUGUGCAAGUUUAUUGGAUCUGGGCCCUCAUGUUUCAACAGUUCUCUCUCUUGAAUGAAUCACUUCCUAAUUUUUAGGUCC
This 27616-nucleotide long non-coding RNA is filed under the name Solanum tuberosum (potato). RNAcentral describes it as "long non-coding RNA (STUB_LNC001944)". Lineage: Eukaryota; Viridiplantae; Streptophyta; Magnoliopsida; Solanales; Solanaceae. The record is from RNAcentral.